AUUGAACGCUGGCGGCAGGCCUAACACAUGCAAGUCGAACGAGUGGCGGACGGGUGAGUAAUGUCUGGGAAACUGCCUGAUGUAGGGGGAUAACUACUGGAAACGGUAGCUAAUAGCGCAUACCAUCAGAUGUGGCAAGAUGGGAUUAGGUUGUUGGUGGGGUAACGGCUCACCAAGGCGACGAUCCCUAGCUGGUCUGCGAGGAUGAACAGCCACACGGGAACUGAGACACGGUCCAGACUCCUACGGGAGGUAGCAGUGGGGAAUAUUGCACAAUGGGAGCAAGCCUGAUGCAGCCAUGCCGCGUGUAUGAAGAAGGCCUUCGGGUUGUAAAGUACUUUCAGCGGGGAGGCGGUACCCGCAGAAGAAGCACCGGCUAACUCCGUGCCAGCAGCCGCGGUAAUAC
RNAcentral lists this ribosomal RNA (406 nucleotides) under uncultured bacterium. RNAcentral's name for it is "partial 16S ribosomal RNA". It matches the Rfam family "Bacterial small subunit ribosomal RNA", at positions 30 to 526 of the family's 1533-position model. The record is from RNAcentral.